Molecule: transfer RNA, 85 nt
Filed under: Hungatella hathewayi
Lineage: Bacteria; Bacillati; Bacillota; Clostridia; Lachnospirales; Lachnospiraceae
Description: tRNA-Ser
Rfam family: tRNA
About the family: Transfer RNA (tRNA) molecules are approximately 80 nucleotides in length. Their secondary structure includes four short double-helical elements and three loops (D, anti-codon, and T loops). Further hydrogen bonds mediate the characteristic L-shaped molecular structure. tRNAs have two regions of fundamental functional importance: the anti-codon, which is responsible for specific mRNA codon recognition, and the 3' end, to which the tRNAs corresponding amino acid is attached (by aminoacyl-tRNA synthetases). tRNAs cope with the degeneracy of the genetic code in two manners: having more than one tRNA (with a specific anti-codon) for a particular amino acid; and 'wobble' base-pairing, i.e. permitting non-standard base-pairing at the 3rd anti-codon position.
Source: RNAcentral
GCCAGGAUACCCAAACGGUUAUAAGGGCGUCGCUUUGAAGGUGUCUGUGCUAUAUGGCAUGGGGGUUCGAAUCCCUCUCCUGGCG